This 446-nucleotide ribosomal RNA is filed under the name uncultured bacterium. RNAcentral's name for it is "partial 16S ribosomal RNA". It matches the Rfam family "Bacterial small subunit ribosomal RNA", at positions 338 to 795 of the family's 1533-position model. The record is from RNAcentral.
CCUACGGGUGGCAGCAGUCGAGAAUCAUUCACAAUGGGGGAAACCCUGAUGGUGCGACGCCGCGUGGGGGAAUGAAGGUCUUCGGAUUGUAAACCCCUGUCAUGUGGGAGCAAAUUACAAUGAUAGUACCACAAUAGGCAGAGACUGCUAACUCUGUGCCAGCAGCCGCGGUAAGUCAGAGGUCUCAAGCGUUGUUCGGAAUCACUGGGCGUAAAGCGUGCGUAGGCUGUUUCGUAAGUCGGGUGUGAAAGGCGCGGGCUCAACCCGCGGACGGCACAUGAUACUGCGAGACUAGAGUGAAGGAGGGGGAAGCGGAAUUCUCGGUGUAGCAGUGAAAUGCGUAGAUAUCGAGAGGAACACUCGUGGCGAAGGCGGGUUCCUGGACAGUAACUGACGCUGAGGCACGAAGGCCAGGGGAGCGAAAGGGAUUAGAUACCCCUGUAGUC